ACGUAGGGAGCAAGCGUUGUCCGGAUUUAUUGGGCGUAAAGAGCUCGUAGGCGGUUUGGUAAGUCAGAUGUGAAAACUCAGGGCUCAACCCUGAGAGGCCAUCUGAUACUGCCAUGACUAGAGUCCGGUAGAGGAGUGUGGAAUUUCUGGUGUAGCGGUGAAAUGCGCAGAUAUCAGAAGGAACACCAACGGCGAAGGCAGCACUCUGGGCCGGUACUGACGCUGAGGAGCGAAAGCGUGGGGAGCAAACAGG
RNAcentral lists this ribosomal RNA (253 nucleotides) under uncultured bacterium. Its description in RNAcentral is "partial 16S ribosomal RNA". It matches the Rfam family "Bacterial small subunit ribosomal RNA", at positions 525 to 776 of the family's 1533-position model. The record is from RNAcentral.